Long non-coding RNA from Electrophorus electricus (electric eel), 470 nucleotides. RefSeq lists it as uncharacterized. The record is from RefSeq and is a predicted model, not a curated record. Lineage: Eukaryota; Metazoa; Chordata; Actinopteri; Gymnotiformes; Gymnotidae.
CCUCCGCUACAGGGUUGAGGAAGGAGAGGGUGUGUCUGCCUGCCGGGCUACAAGCAGCCCUGAAGAUCUCUGAACCACACGCUUGCUGAGCCACUGUUUCAGCAGGGUGGCUUUGAACAGGACAGAGGAGGAAACAUCACUGGAAGUAAUGGAAUGUCACUGGAAGCUCUGGCUGAGGGAUCUUGAGGGACGGCAGUGAGAGCUCAUUUCGGAUCCUUGUGACCGCGGCCGUGUUGAUUGACAGUCUGCGUGGAGCUGAGCCCUUGGCUGAGCUGAUGGAGUGUGUGUUUCAGAGUGCAUCUGUGCUGCACAAUCGAUAGUCACUUAAAGCAGAAAUCAGAGACCGCUCGGAGGUGUGUUUGCCAUGCCGAAGCCACUGCAUCAAGACCAGCUUUGCCUUGCCUGGACCAUACUUCAGGAUCCUGACUGUCAUAAAGCGCUUAUUUUUUCAAUAAUUGAUUCAUUUUUCU